Molecule: long non-coding RNA, 150 nt
Filed under: Ictidomys tridecemlineatus (thirteen-lined ground squirrel)
Lineage: Eukaryota; Metazoa; Chordata; Mammalia; Rodentia; Sciuridae
Description: lncRNA (ENSSTOG00000029600.1)
Source: RNAcentral
CUGAAGCAAGGGAAGGGACAGUUUGAGGAGGGAGAAGAAGAUCUUGGAGACGGGAGAAGGUGCCUGCUGGGGUGAAGUAAAGAAGCCAGAACUGAAGAGGAAAAAAGAAGAGACAGGGAACACCUCUAUGAUGCACCUGUGCCCCAUCUG